AACGAACGCUGGCGGCGUGCCUAAUACAUGCAAGUCGCGCGAGAAAGUCCUUCGGGAUGAGUAGAGCGGCGCACGGGUGAGUAAUGCAUAGGAACGUACCUACAGGCGGGGAAUAACCACGGGAAACUGUGGCUAAUACCGCAUAACGACGAGAGUCCAAAGCAGGCCUCUAUUUAUAAGCUUGCACCUGUAGAGCGGCCUAUGUCCCAUUAGCUAGUUGGCAGGGUAAUGGCCUACCAAGGCAACGAUGGGUAUCUGGUCUAAGAGGAUGACCAGCCACACUGGAACUGACACACGGUCCAGACUCCUACGGGUGGCAG
Molecule: ribosomal RNA, 320 nt
Filed under: uncultured Pseudomonadota bacterium
Lineage: Bacteria; Pseudomonadati; Pseudomonadota
Description: bacterial SSU rRNA
Rfam family: Bacterial small subunit ribosomal RNA
Source: RNAcentral